This 253-nucleotide ribosomal RNA is filed under the name uncultured bacterium. Its description in RNAcentral is "partial 16S ribosomal RNA". It matches the Rfam family "Bacterial small subunit ribosomal RNA", at positions 524 to 776 of the family's 1533-position model. The record is from RNAcentral.
UACAGAGGUCUCAAGCGUUGUUCGGAAUUACUGGGCGUAAAGGGUGCGCAGGCCGCGCGGACAGUCAAAUGUGAAAUUCAGGGGCUCAACCCCUGCAUUGCGCUUGAUACUUCCGCGCUCGGGCCUUGGAAAGGAGUCUGGAAUUCUCGGUGUAGCAGUGAAAUGCGUAGAUAUCGAGAGAAACACUAAGGGCGAAGGCAAGACUCUGGACAAGUGCUGACGCUCAUGCACGAAGGCUAGGGUAGCGAACGGG